RNAcentral lists this ribosomal RNA (513 nucleotides) under uncultured bacterium. RNAcentral's name for it is "bacterial SSU rRNA". It matches the Rfam family "Bacterial small subunit ribosomal RNA", at positions 34 to 507 of the family's 1533-position model. The record is from RNAcentral.
CGCUGGCGGCGUGCCUAAUACAUGCAAGUCGAACGCACUCUCGUUUAGAUUGAAGGAGCUUGCUCCUGAUUGAUAAACAUUUGAGUGGAGUGGCGGACGGGUGAGUAACACGUGGGUAACCUGCCCUAAGUGGGGAUAACAUUUGGAAACAGAUGCUAAUACCGCAUAAAACCUAACACCGCAUGGUGUAGGGUUGAAAGAUGGUUUCGGCUAUCACUUUAGGAUGGACCCGCGGUGCAUUAGUUAGUUGGUGAGGUAAAGGCUCACCAAGACCGUGAUGCAUAGCCGACCUGAGAGGGUAAUCGGCCACACUGGGACUGAGACACGGCCCAGACUCCUACGGGAGGCAGCAGUAGGGAAUCUUCCACAAUGGACGAAAGUCUGAUGGAGCAACGCCGCGUGAGUGAAGAAGGUUUUCGGAUCGUAAAACUCUGUUGUUGGAGAAGAAUGUAUCUGAUAGUAACUGAUCAGGUAGUGACGGUAUCCAACCAGAAAGCCACGGCUAACUACGUG